Long non-coding RNA from Scophthalmus maximus (turbot), 768 nucleotides. RefSeq lists it as uncharacterized. The transcript has 3 exons. NCBI's taxonomy places the organism in Eukaryota, Metazoa, Chordata, Actinopteri, Pleuronectiformes, Scophthalmidae. The record is from RefSeq and is a predicted model, not a curated record.
UUGAAUCUGUGAUGACUGGCAGAAUGUUCAACGAUUCAAAAACAUAUUAGUUACAGCUCUGAUCCACUCCCACUGGAUGGUAGGGAGGUUGCGUCCCCUGCAACUCAAUCACUUCAAAAUCUCCACUUCCACCUCGAAUUUGGAUUUUCCGACCACAACAACUAGUGUGACGCCAGAGAGCAGCAGACCCGACCUCGAGACCAAAAGGUGUCCGUGGAUUCCUGCUCCUGUCUGCCUGCCAAGUUAUCUCCCAUGGCUCCUCUCUUCCUCCCUUUUCCCCCAGAGGGCCGUUGUGGGUCAGACCUCUCUCGUGGUCUCUUCAGUUGAUUUCUUAGAUCCCCCGAGGGAAGCGGAAGAGCUGGCGUCCGAUAACAUCUCAGUUAAAAAGACAUGGAACCAUGACAUUGUCUGAUCCAUUGCCGAUAGCUGAGGCUGCAGAGAGAGCUACACUUUUUUUUUUUUUCUGGUCUCCCAUGUCUAAAGCAACACAUAUGUGUACAUCUAUGUAAAUUUAGAAAAGAUUAGAACUGUGCAGUCCAAAUUCCAAGAAGCUGUGGACUUUUGUGUCAAGGAAAGAAGUCUCACGGCUUCUUAGACAAUAGAGUGUUGUGGGGGAUGAAAUCCCCAACAAAGUAAUCUUGUUAUGUUCGGAAAAGAAAAAUUGCAUUACAAUUAUACUGAACAAGUAUCAACCCCCCCCCCCCCUUCUCUAGGGAGAGUCCAAGAGUUUUUAGUUCUUAAAUAAUAAAUGUGAAGCAGCAUUACUGU